GAGGGUGCAGCUCAAUGGUAGAGCUCAUGCUUUGCAUGUGUGAGGUCCUGGGUUCAAUCCCCAAUACCUCUG
This 72-nucleotide transfer RNA is filed under the name Camelus bactrianus (Bactrian camel). It matches the Rfam family "tRNA". Rfam says of the family: Transfer RNA (tRNA) molecules are approximately 80 nucleotides in length. The record is from Rfam by way of RNAcentral. RNAcentral also lists the same sequence under 2 other names. Lineage: Eukaryota; Metazoa; Chordata; Mammalia; Artiodactyla; Camelidae.